GGUUUGUGGCUCAGUGGUAGAGUGCUUGCCCAGCACACAUGAGGCACUGGGUUCAAUCCUCAGUACCA
RNAcentral lists this transfer RNA (68 nucleotides) under Marmota monax (woodchuck). Its description in RNAcentral is "tRNA.Ala". The record is from RNAcentral. Lineage: Eukaryota; Metazoa; Chordata; Mammalia; Rodentia; Sciuridae.